RNAcentral lists this ribosomal RNA (407 nucleotides) under uncultured bacterium. RNAcentral's name for it is "partial 16S ribosomal RNA". It matches the Rfam family "Bacterial small subunit ribosomal RNA", at positions 30 to 526 of the family's 1533-position model. The record is from RNAcentral.
AUUGAACGCUGGCGGCAGGCCUAACACAUGCAAGUCGAGCGGAGCGGCGGACGGGUGCGUAAUGUAUGGGGAUCUGCCCGCUAGAGGGGGAUAACUACUGGAAACGGUGGCUACUACCGCAUACUAUCAGAUGAGCCUAGGUCGGAUUAGCUAGUUGGUGGGGUAAAGGCCUACCAAGGCGACGAUCCGUAACUGGUCUGAGAGGAUGAUCAGUCACACUGGAAAUGAGACAAGGUCCAGACGCCGACGGGAGGCAGCAGUGGGGAAUAUUGGACAAUGGGCGAAAGCCUGAUCCAGCCAGGCCGCGUGUGUGAAGAAGGUCUUCGGAUUGUAAAGAACUUUAAGUUGGGAGGCGUUACCAACAGAAUAAGCACCGGAUAACUUCGUGCCAGCAGCCGCGGUAAUAC